UGUCCACUGUUUAUUCAUUUAUUCAAUUUUAUCUCUCAAAUGCUAAUUAAAUCCUAUAGACAACAAAAUGUUUUGAUGAAAAUAUUACAAUAUAGUUUUAAUAUUAUAAUAUAGUGUACAGCAAACACAGCUGAAAACACAAUCCACUGGCACUGGUUUAAGAAAAAGAGAGAGAGAUCAAAACCAGAGUAUAUUUUAAUCUAAAAAAAAAUGAAAUCUAAUUUACAAGGUAAGUGCAAAGCAUAUGAAGACACUCAGGAUUUACACAACAGUCAAUAUCAUCAAGACUUCACAUGAAUAUCCAUGUUCUUUUGUAGAGGUCAAGCAGGAAGAAACACAGAAUUGUGUACCAUCAGAGAUUUCAGUAGAGAGCGCCCUCUGCUGGUGAAGAGAGGAAACGUCCACCUAUACACAGAAACAUAUUAACUUAAGUGUCAUUUAUUUCCACAGGGUGCCUCUGCAUUUAGGACUAAAAAGCCAAAUAUAAAGUGUUUGGUUUAUACAACUGGAAAAACACUCUACAGAUUUAUAUAGGUUACAUAUAAAUUUUAUUUCUUUAGCUUAAAUAGAUAUUGGUGUCCUGUCUGUUUGUAGACUCCAAUAUUGUAGAAAAGUACCUUUCUAUUCUAUACUUUAUUCACAGUUCAAUACUUAUUCUGUACUAUUGUUUACUCAUUGUGUUUUUCCAUUGUCUUCUUUUGCUCUGCACAUCAUUACAGGGGUAAGUGAAUAAAACUACUAUUUUUCUCUUUUGAAUGGUAAUUUACUUAAAAUGAUUUUAUACACACCAAUCUUUUAUAUGAAAACACUCAUGUAUUCACUAUUUCAUAUUCAGACAAUGUUAUUUACUUUAUUUAAACAGAUUCACAUUUAUUUUUGCAGACAUCAUUAUACAGAGCAGCUUAAAUGUAUUCAGUAAGGCAUCUGUGAACAUCUGAAACUUGAUCUGUGUCUUCAGGACAGAUCCUGAAUGUAGAAAAAACAAUUAUGACUGUGCCUCCAUGUGGUCAAGAACUGUAAUAUCUUUAUUUUUUCCCCCUUAUAUCAUAAUUUGUGCUAACCCCCCCCCACAUAAUUAUCUGCAAUAUUCUGAAGUAAACACACAUUAACAUUUCAAAAUCAGGUGCUCAGCAUUUUAAUAAAUUAAUUAAUUAAUUAAUUAAUUAAUUAAUCUUUGAUCCUCCUUAGAUUUUUGUCCACUGUUUAUUCAUUUAUUCAAUUUUAUCUCUCAAAUGCUAAUUAAAUCCUAUAGACAACAAAAUGUUUUGAUGAAAAUAUUACAAUAUAGUUUUUAUAUUAUAAUAUAGUGUACAGCAAACACAGCUGAAAACACAAUCCACUGGCACUGGUUUAAGAAAAAGAGAGAGAGAUCAAAACCAGAGUAUAUUUUAAUCUAAAAAAAAAUGAAAUCUAAUUUACAAGGUAAGUGCAAAGCAUAUGAAGACACUCAGGAUUUACACAACAGUCAAUAUCAUCAAGACUUCACAUGAAUAUCCAUGUUCUUUUGUAGAGGUCAAGCAGGAAGAAACACAGAAUUGUGUAACAUCAGAGAUUUCAGUAGAGAGCGCCCUCUGCUGGUGAAGAGAGGAAACGUCCACCUAUACACAGAAACAUAUUAACUUAAGUGUCAUUUAUUUCCACAGGGUGCCUCUGCAUUUAGGACUAAAAAGCCAAGGGUAAGUGAAUAAAACUACUAUUUUUCUCUUUUGAAUGGUAAUUUACUUAAAAUGAUUUUAUACACACCAAUCUUUUAUAUGAAAACACUCAUGUAUUCACUAUUUCAUAUUCAGACAAUGUUAUUUACUUUAUUUAAACAGAUUCACAUUUAUUUUUGCAGACAUCAUUAUACAGAGCAGCUUAAAUGUAUUCAGUAAGGCAUCUGUGAUCAUCUGAAACUUGAUCUGUGUCUUCAGGACAGAUCCUGAAUGUAGAAAAAACAAUUAUGACUGUGCCUCCAUGUGGUCAAGAACUGUAAUAUCUUUAUUUUUUCCCCCUUAUAUCAUAAUUUGUGCUAACUAGCCCCCCCCACAUAAUUAUCUGCAAUAUUCUGAAGUAAACACACAUUAACAUUUCAAAAUCAGG
Molecule: long non-coding RNA, 2082 nt
Organism: Hemibagrus wyckioides
Lineage: Eukaryota; Metazoa; Chordata; Actinopteri; Siluriformes; Bagridae
Exons: 3
Source: RefSeq, a predicted model, not a curated record